RNAcentral lists this transfer RNA (70 nucleotides) under Loxodonta africana (African savanna elephant). It matches the Rfam family "tRNA". From Rfam's summary of the family: Transfer RNA (tRNA) molecules are approximately 80 nucleotides in length. Their secondary structure includes four short double-helical elements and three loops (D, anti-codon, and T loops). Lineage: Eukaryota; Metazoa; Chordata; Mammalia; Proboscidea; Elephantidae. The record is from Rfam by way of RNAcentral.
GCAUUGCUGGUUCAGUGGUAGAAUUCUCGCCUUCCAUGCGGGAGACCUGGGUUGACUUUCAGCCAAUGUA